Molecule: long non-coding RNA, 708 nt
Organism: Hipposideros armiger (great roundleaf bat)
Lineage: Eukaryota; Metazoa; Chordata; Mammalia; Chiroptera; Hipposideridae
Exons: 6
Source: RefSeq, a predicted model, not a curated record
GCGAGGUGGGAGACUCACCGCAAGGAGGAAGGGAAGCGAAGACUGCGGCUGCGGGGGACUGAGGAGACGCAUGGAGUCCAGAGGUCAGGCAGUCUUCACCUCCUUCUGCAGCUGUGUUGGCGAAGCCGGCAGGCUCACCGGCAGCAACCGCAACCCAACGCGCAGGGAGGAGGAGAGUGGCUCAAGGAGAUGUGAUUUUCUUGGAUUUGCUGCAAUUCCUUUAAACCAAAAUCCGUCUUUCGGGCGUUAAAGUAAAUCACCGGUGGCAGUGUAGAGGCCAAAACAGACAAUUCUAGAAGUGGUUUCUGAAAAAUAAAAGUGAAUAUACAUGAGUAAGCAAGCACAGGAAUCUGAAAAACCACAGAUGGAGAAACUGAAUCCUGAAAAGUUUCAACAUCCUUGAGGUCAUACAAAAGACUAAAGCAGCAUAUGGCUUAUCUAGGAGGUAAAAAUGAGAACAGCUUCUACCUGAUUGGUACCCUCUUGAAGAGAAAUAGUUCUGCUCAGUUUGGAAUGAAAUGUAGAUAACUUGUUAAAACUUUUGUAGGAAAAGCGCCUCGUGUGACCUGGAACAAAGACAUUUUAUAAUCAGAUUUAUCAAGCUGUGAAGAGGGAGUUAAAGUGAACGGAAGCAGCAGCGUUCUGUCACCAGGAAAUACUGCUUUAUUCAGAAUUGAGCCCCUACCCAGAAGGCUGUGGAUCAUCUCG